Long non-coding RNA from Manis javanica (Malayan pangolin), 409 nucleotides. RefSeq lists it as uncharacterized. The record is from RefSeq and is a predicted model, not a curated record. Lineage: Eukaryota; Metazoa; Chordata; Mammalia; Pholidota; Manidae.
GGGCGAGUACGUGUGCGUAUGCGCCCCACUAAUCAUUUCUGGCGCGAAAAAGUUUCACCCGCAGUACUGGUGAAUGGAAUUUGACUCUCGAGAAAGGUCCGGUGAUCCGAUGAUUCACGUUAAUUCGAUGAAUUCAAGCACACAACACUACAUUCUUCGAGACGUUGCAGUCACUACUCCACAUGCAUGAUGCAUGAGACAACUGCACACGCAUUGGAUUUUGUCCUGCAACAUGUUAAAGAUGUACAGAUGAAUUGGAUGACAUUCCUCCUUACAAGAAUCUGUGAACUACACCACUUAGGAUGGCCAACAUCGAAAACACCAAGAACAACAAAUGCUGGCGAGGAUGCAGAGAGAGGGGAACCCUCUUACACUGAUGGUGGGAAUGUAGUUCAACCAUUGUGGAAAG